GCCCCGAGCUGCCAGCUGACGGUCGCCUCCAGUGGGCUAGGGCCGGCCGCGGUCAUUAGGCUGCGGGCGCGGGCGGGGGCGGCCGGGCUGGCGGGAGCGCCGGGAGGAGGCGACCGCGCCGCAGCGUCCUGGCCUGGGCGCCCCGCCCGCCGCCGUCCCGCGCCCGCUGGGCUCCUCGCUGCCACCCACCCCCGCCCCCGCUCCCGCCCUGUCACUGGCUUCCCCCGCUCCGCUUCCCGUUUGGCUCGGCCCGCCUCCCUCCGUCUCCCUCCAUCCCCGGUGUCUGUCGAUCUUCUCGUCUGCUGUCCUCCCGGGAUCCCUCCCUGCGUCUCCAGCUCUUCCUUGCUGCGCCUCUCUUUCCCAAGAGCGUUGAGAGAAGAAAGCAGAACUCAAAUGAGCCCCGGAGCAGGAGACCUGUGGAGAAGCAAGCAGCAGGCAGAAAGGUCUAUAGAGUUCUGGAGCUCUUCUGUGCCAGUGUGUUACAUGUCUACAAUGAAACGCCGCAAACCUCUCCUUCAGGUGGCCAGAGAGCACUUUGUUUGGGAGCAAAGAGAACCUCUGGAUUCGGCUCUUCCAGCUCCUCCUCACACCAAACCUGGCUCAGGGCCAGCCCUGCCCACUCUGUUCAGGAAUGUGCUCCAUAGUUGGGAGGAGACUCAAGAAUACAUGGAUCCAUCCAGCAGUUACGUUGUCCUUUAGCAGUUACGUUGUCCUUUAGUUGCUUGUGGGAAAUGAUCUGUUGAAAUCCAGUGAGUUCCAGGCACUGAAUGGGGCUCUGAGAUAGUCUUUUCAAAAAACACACAUGACCCCUUGUGUCCCUCUAGAAAUUAUAAAGUCAGUAGGAGAAAAGGAUCUUGAAUAGCCAUUUAUGGAACUCCUUAGCUGAAAUUACAUUAAGUAUUUUAAGUGAAGUAUUUGAGGUGAAGGUCAAAUGACUUUCUACUGGGAGGGCUGGUGAGAUGGCUCAGUGCUUAAGAGGACUUGUUCUUGUGGAGGACUCUGGUUGGUUCCCAGCUCCAACAUAUCAGCUAACUCCAGCUCCAGAGGAUCAGGCCCCUCCUCUGGCCUCAGUAGAGGCACUGUAGGCAUAUGGUGCAGAAACACACAUGCAUGCAAAAACAGUCAUAAAUAAAAUAAAAUAAAAAUAAAUAAAUCUUGAGGGA
RNAcentral lists this long non-coding RNA (1163 nucleotides) under Mus spicilegus (steppe mouse). Its description in RNAcentral is "lncRNA (ENSMSIG00000000618.1)". The record is from RNAcentral. Lineage: Eukaryota; Metazoa; Chordata; Mammalia; Rodentia; Muridae.